RNAcentral lists this ribosomal RNA (430 nucleotides) under uncultured bacterium. RNAcentral describes it as "bacterial SSU rRNA". It matches the Rfam family "Bacterial small subunit ribosomal RNA", at positions 917 to 1350 of the family's 1533-position model. The record is from RNAcentral.
GGGCCCGCACAAGCGGUGGAGUAUGUGGUUUAAUUCGAUGCAACGCGAAGAACCUUACCAGGGCUUAAAUGUAGUCUGACAGGGGUGGAAACACCCCCUCCUUCGGGCAGAUUACAAGGUGCUGCAUGGUUGUCGUCAGCUCGUGCCGUGAGGUGUCAGGUUAAGUCCUAUAACGAGCGCAACCCCUGCCGUUAGUUGCCAGCAUGUAAUGAUGGGAACUCUAACGGGACUGCCGGUGCAAACCGCGAGGAAGGUGGGGAUGACGUCAAAUCAUCACGGCCCUUACGUCCUGGGCUACACACGUGCUACAAUGGCCGGUACAGAGGGCAGCCACACCGCAAGGUGGAGCGAAUCCUUAAAACCGGUCUCAGUUCGGAUCGGGGUCUGCAACUCGGCCCCGUGAAGCUGGAAUCGCUAGUAAUCGGAUAUC